Molecule: ribosomal RNA, 490 nt
Filed under: Staphylococcus equorum
Lineage: Bacteria; Bacillati; Bacillota; Bacilli; Caryophanales; Staphylococcaceae
Description: bacterial SSU rRNA
Rfam family: Bacterial small subunit ribosomal RNA
Source: RNAcentral
GCUUCAGGAUAACGCUGGCGGCGUGCCUAUACAUGCAAGUCGAGCGAACGGAUAAGGAGCUUGCUCCUUUGAAGUUAGCGGCGGACGGGUGAGUAACACGUGGGUAACCUACCUAUAAGACUGGAAUAACUUCGGGAAACCGGAGCUAAUGCCGGAUAACAUUUGGAACCGCAUGGUUCUAAAGUAAAAGAUGGUUUUGCUAUCACUUAUAGAUGGACCCGCGCCGUAUUAGCUAGUUGGUAAGGUAACGGCUUACCAAGGCAACGAUACGUAGCCGACCUGAGAGGGUGAUCGGCCACACUGGAACUGAGACACGGUCCAGACUCCUACGGGAGGCAGCAGUAGGGAAUCUUCCGCAAUGGACGAAAGUCUGACGGAGCAACGCCGCGUGAGUGAUGAAGGUUUUCGGAUCGUAAAACUCUGUUAUUAGGGAAGAACAAAUGUGUAAGUAACUGUGCACAUCUUGACGGUACCUAAUCAGAAAGCCACG